Molecule: long non-coding RNA, 1662 nt
Filed under: Homo sapiens (human)
Lineage: Eukaryota; Metazoa; Chordata; Mammalia; Primates; Hominidae
Description: long intergenic non-protein coding RNA 2532
Source: RNAcentral
AGUUCCCUCUGUAUGCAGAAUAUUGUGCAACAUGGUUAUGGGUACUACAGUGGAUGUGAGUGUGUAGACCUUGUACAAUAGAGCUUAUAGGCUAAUGAGAAGACAGGAAGAAACAACAGGAACACAUAUAGCUGGAAUGCAGAUGGGAUCUGUGCUACUUACGCUAGCCAUGGGAUGAUUAGAACAAGAUAAGAGACAUGAGGAAGACUUCUUCAAGGAGGUGCUCAAGCCAUGUUUUGGAAAAGAGAACUCAAGGUCUGGCAGGGAGAAAGGAGCAAGAGUAGACUUUGAGUCUUUGCUUCAGAUGCAGAUCAAGAUGUGGCAACCUGUUGUGGAGAACUGGGUCCCUUGAGCCUGUGCUGUCUCUUUUUUUCUGGUGGCUUUGUCAUUUGGAACAAUGCAUAAUGGGCUGGAGGCUGAGAAACUCUGAGCUGAGGUGACACAAGGAUGACAGGAACAGUUAUCAGGGAAGCACACUGAUCGACUGAGCUGCCUGCUCCUGGCCUUCUGGAUCCUCCUCAGUUCCUGCUUAUCUCUAGGCCAGGCUCUCAACUCUGUCAAUUCUGGCAAGUAGAGCUGCAGCUGUCUGGCGCCACUGUAAUGCUGUCUCCUCCUCUGAGUGAGUUCAUCCUGGAAACAUUUUCUCCCAUAAGACAUGCACAGGUCUUACGUUUACAUGUUUCACUGAAAGAAAUUUGAUUCCACUGCUGGGAUGACAAGGAAGACUGAAGAAACCUAAUCCUAGGUGCUGCCACUGGGACAAACAAGAAGCACCAGACACAGUGCUGUUUUAGGGUGGGGCAGAAUUAUGCUGAGGGAAAAGUUAUUAUCACUCUUUAAGGCCAAGGAAACCACAAUUUUUAAAGAAGCUUCUAGAAAUUCUACCCAGUAGAAAAUAAAGAUAAACUUCUGUAAGGAAUUUCAUUCUUUUCAGAAUUCGCAAUCUGAAAUGUAGAAGCCCAUUCCUUCAUGGUUCUCAUAGAUAUUUAGUGUGACUGAGGGGUCAGUGGACUCAUAGCACUCAGGCCAGGCUUCUCCUGAGUCCCUUUCUUUGGCACAGAGGGAGUGAUUCACAGAUCCUCUACCCCCAAAGGCAUUGUUUCCUCAUCUCAACAAGAAUCCAGCACCCGUCAUUUUAUCAGCACACGUCACUAGCUUCUCAAGUGAGACUACUCUGAAGUGAUCUGUGUUUGAAGAAUGCCUUUCCCUUUCCCUUACGUAACUAAGAGGAUGAAAAAGGACACUCACUCCCUAUAUGAAAGCUGUGUAUUGUAAGCAGUCAUCUUGCCUGGCUGAGAACUCUAGGAUCUUUUUCUCUGCUCUCCUUUAGGCUGACACUCAUAGCCAGACCUUCUGUUUAUUAGCCCCCUGAAUCUAUUUGAAAAUAUUUUUGCUUUCAUUAUAAUAUAAGUCACAUUCUUCUUGCAUCUGCCGCUGCAUUUUCCAAAAGGGUUAUGUCAAGGGAAAUUCAACACUCACUUUUCUCAUUAUUUGCUUACCAGCUUGCUCACUCAUCAAAAUACCAGAGUUAUUUGAUACUUCAGAAGAUUAUUUCCCCCUUUAGAUGAUGUGUCAAGGGAAGGGGAGCUGGCCCCAGUAUCAGGUGACAGAAUUUUCUUCGCAUUUCUACUGUUGACUCAAUAAAUGCCCUUGGGCAAGUCA